Molecule: ribosomal RNA, 433 nt
Filed under: uncultured bacterium
Lineage: Bacteria
Description: partial 16S ribosomal RNA
Rfam family: Bacterial small subunit ribosomal RNA
Source: RNAcentral
AACGAACGCUGGCGGCAUGCUUAACACAUGCAAGUCGAACGAGAAGUUCGGGUCUUGUGGCGCACGGGUGCGUACCGAGUGGGAACUAGCCCUUAGGUUCGGAAUACCUCACUGUAAGAGGAGUUAAUAACGGUUAAUGUAUUCGCACCAAAGAUCUCUUGCUUUGGGAUGGGGGCGCGUUGGAUUAGCCGGUUGGUAGGGUAAAAGCCUAUCAAGGCGACGAUCCAUAGCUGGUCUGAGAGGAUGAUCAGCCACACUGGGACUGAGACACGGCCCAGACUCCUACGGAACGGAGCAGAAGGGUGUAUUGGACAAGGGGCGAAGGCCUAGUCCAGCAAUGCCGCGUGUGUGAUGAAGGGCUUAGUAUUGUAAAGCUCUUUUACCCGGGAUGAUAAUGACGGUACCGGGUGAAGAAGCUCCGGCUAACUCCGUG